Molecule: ribosomal RNA, 509 nt
Filed under: uncultured bacterium
Lineage: Bacteria
Description: bacterial SSU rRNA
Rfam family: Bacterial small subunit ribosomal RNA
Source: RNAcentral
GAGUUUGAUCAUGGCUCAGAUUGAACGCUGGCGGCAGGCCUAACACAUGCAAGUCGAGCGGUAGAGAGAAGCUUGCUUCUCUUGAGAGCGGCGGACGGGUGAGUAAUGCCUAGGAAUCUGCCUGGUAGUGGGGGAUAACGCUCGGAAACGGACGCUAAUACCGCAUACGUCCUACGGGAGAAAGCAGGGGACCUUCGGGCCUUGCGCUAUCAGAUGAGCCUAGGUCGGAUUAGCUAGUUGGUGAGGUAAUGGCUCACCAAGGCGACGAUCCGUAACUGGUCUGAGAGGAUGAUCAGUCACACUGGAACUGAGACACGGUCCAGACUCCUACGGGAGGCAGCAGUGGGGAAUAUUGGACAAUGGGCGAAAGCCUGAUCCAGCCAUGCCGCGUGUGUGAAGAAGGUCUUCGGAUUGUAAAGCACUUUAAGUUGGGAGGAAGGGCAGUAAAUUAAUACUUUGCUGUUUUGACGUUACCGACAGAAUAAGCACCGGCUAACUCUGUGCCAGCC